UGUAGUUCAGUCGGUAGAACGGCGGACUGUUAAUCCGUAUGUCACUGGUUCGAGUCCAGUCAGAUAU
This 67-nucleotide transfer RNA is filed under the name Klebsiella pneumoniae. RNAcentral's name for it is "tRNA-Asn". It matches the Rfam family "tRNA", at positions 6 to 65 of the family's 71-position model. From Rfam's summary of the family: Transfer RNA (tRNA) molecules are approximately 80 nucleotides in length. Lineage: Bacteria; Pseudomonadati; Pseudomonadota; Gammaproteobacteria; Enterobacterales; Enterobacteriaceae. The record is from RNAcentral.